This 514-nucleotide ribosomal RNA is filed under the name uncultured bacterium. Its description in RNAcentral is "partial 16S ribosomal RNA". It matches the Rfam family "Bacterial small subunit ribosomal RNA", at positions 28 to 523 of the family's 1533-position model. The record is from RNAcentral.
GAUGAACGCUGGCGGCGUGCCUAAUACAUGCAAGUCGAGCGAACAGAUGAGAAGCUUGCUUCUCUGAUGUUAGCGGCGGACGGGUGAGUAACACGUGGGUAACCUACCUAUAAGACUGGGAUAACUCCGGGAAACCGGGGCUAAUACCGGAUAAUAUUUUGAACCGCAUGGUUCAAUAGUGAAAGACGGUUUCGGCUGUCACUUAGAGAUGGACCCGCGCCGUAGUAGCUAGUUGGUAAGGUAACGGCUUACCAAGGCGACGAUACGUAGCCGACCUGAGAGGGUGAUCGGCCACACUGGAACUGAGACACGGUCCAGACUCCUACGGGAGGCAGCAGUAGGGAAUCUUCCGCAAUGGGCGAAAGCCUGACGGAGCAACGCCGCGUGAGUGAUGAAGGUCUUCGGAUCGUAAAACUCUGUUGUUAGGGAAGAACAAAUUUGUUAGUAACUGAACAAGUCUUGACGGUACCUAACCAGAAAGCCACGGCUAACUACGUGCCAGCAGCCGCCGUAA